CCGUGGAUAAUCUAAUUAGUUCGGCUAUUGAUUGAACUCAUCAAUUAGCAAAAUAAUUGAUUGGUCUAUUGAAAUAUCGAAACACCAAGAGAAUGUCAUGUGACCAAUUCUAUUCUCCUUCCUGUAUCAGGAUGGUAGAAGUUAUCCACCCCUUAUCAAAUAAGUAUAUCCACCCCUUAUCAAAUAAGUAUAGUAAAAAAAAUUUAUUGGUGGAGCUUUUCAGUUUCACAUAGAAAAUCUGCAACACGAGGACUUUUGAGCAUCUAGCAGCCAGCAUAAGCUCCUAUUCGCUAGCAAGGUGGCAUCAAAUGAGUCUUUCUCCAUUGCCUGCAUGAACAAUAAAAAAUAGCUCAGUUUCUUUGGGUUUGUUGGGUUUAUCAAACUGGUCCCAUGGAGCAUAGAAAACCUCCCUUGCAUCAGUUUCAGGAAAAGUUUACUUUUGAUGCCAGCAUUAGUAAUUUAUAACAACGUUCUCUCAAAACUGGUGCGGUGGAGCGCCAAAAGACAACCUAAUGAUUUUACUAUAGCUAUUUCUCCAUGUUUUCAGGAAUUUUAUGCAUUGGGACGUGCCCUGAGCCUUCAUUCAUUACCUAAAAGUAGGAAAAUAUGAAGUGGUUCCAUAUAAUCCAACAUGAUCUACAAAUGAGUAAUUUAUCAUUUAACAGAAAAUGAUCUACAUGGCCCUUCUGUUAUUAUUACUCAUAAAUUUAAUGCACUUUUUGUUCAAUCGAUUUGUCUGGAUGCAAUUACCACAUAAUUGCUGCCUCAGAGUGUUCUUAGAAUCAUUCUUGGAGGUGGUGCGGGGACUAGAUUGUCCCCCCUGACAAACAAGCGUGCCAAGCCUGCAGUUCCAUUGGGUGCCAACUACAGGCUCAUUGAUAUCCCUGUCAGCAAUUGUCUCAACAGCAACAUCUCAAAGAUCUAUGUGCUGACACAGUCAAGAGCCUAGGGAAGCAACAUUGGAGGUUACAAGAAUGAAGGCUCAGGGCACGUCCCAAUGUGGAUUUGUUGAAGUGUUAGCCGCGCAGCAGAGUCCAGAUAAUCCAAAGUGGUUCCAGGAAAAUAUGUGCUCCAUUGCAAGUUGCAAUACUACAAUGGCAAGUCCAGCAUCUUUUCCACUUACAUGAUCCUCUGAUUGUUUGUUGAUGGAUCUUAAUGUGAACAAUAGGAUGAUAAGGUCUACACAGUUCUUUUCAAAAAAGGUCCACAAUGUUUUCAUAUUCUGUUGUACAUUUAUUUGCAUAUUUAGUUGCCCUUGAACAUUAAUAUGUUAUUAUUUUCCUUUUUAUGAGUCCAAAUUUGACCAACAUUCGUGACAUGUAUUUUGAUGAUAGUCCUGGUAAUAUGUUCGAGCACUACUAUUUAUCUUUGGUCAA
This is a long non-coding RNA of Panicum virgatum (switchgrass), 1376 nucleotides long. RefSeq lists it as uncharacterized. Lineage: Eukaryota; Viridiplantae; Streptophyta; Magnoliopsida; Poales; Poaceae. The transcript has 2 exons. The record is from RefSeq and is a predicted model, not a curated record.